Molecule: long non-coding RNA, 387 nt
Organism: Salvia splendens (bonfire salvia)
Lineage: Eukaryota; Viridiplantae; Streptophyta; Magnoliopsida; Lamiales; Lamiaceae
Exons: 2
Source: RefSeq, a predicted model, not a curated record
CGUAUAAAUUGUGGUGAUACGUGGAUAUGGUAAAGGCUGGAAUCAUUGACCCGUUGAAGGUCAUUAGAACUGUGCUCGUUGAUGCUGCUAGUGUCUCUUCAUUGAUGACAACAACAGAGGCGAUUGUGGUAGAGCAACCGACAGAGGUGAAGGCUGGACCACCAAUGGGCGGCGGAGGAAUGGGUGGCAUGGACUACUGAGGUGAGGUGAUGGAAUGCUGCUUAACAAUUGUUUAACAGCAGAAAAGAAUAAAAGAGAGUUGUGUUAUUUUUAAGCGGGAUGCAAUGAUGGGGCGAGUUGGUUUGGUUUUGGAUUUGAUUUUGGUAGGGUUAGUGUUAGUUAGACUCAAUUGUUUUGGAAUUGUCCAUUAAUUAUUUAUCUCCGUCA